UGGGGAAUAUUGGACAAUGGGGGGGACUCUGAUCCAGCCAUGCCGCGUGUGUGAAGAAGGCCUUCUGGUUGUAAAGCACUUUAAGCGAGGAGGAGGCUCCUGUAGUUAAUACCUACAGAGAGUGGACGUUACUCGCAGAAUAAGCACCGGCUAACUCUGUGCCAGCAGCCGCGGUAAUACAGAGGGUGCGAGCGUUAAUCGGAUUUACUGGGCGUAAAGCGUGCGUAGGCGGCUUUUUGAGUCGGAUGUGAAAUCCCCGGGCUUAACUUUGGAAUUGCAUGCGAUACUGGGGAGCUAGAGUAUGAGAGAGGAUAGUAGAAUUCCAGGUGUAGCGGUGAAAUGCGUAGAGAUCGGGAGGAAUACCGAUGGCGAAGGCAGCCAUCUGGCCCAAUACUGACGAUGAGGUACGAAAGCAUGGGGAGCAAACA
RNAcentral lists this ribosomal RNA (428 nucleotides) under uncultured bacterium. Its description in RNAcentral is "bacterial SSU rRNA". It matches the Rfam family "Bacterial small subunit ribosomal RNA", at positions 355 to 774 of the family's 1533-position model. The record is from RNAcentral.